This 73-nucleotide transfer RNA is filed under the name Dreissena polymorpha. Its description in RNAcentral is "tRNA-Sec". The record is from RNAcentral. Lineage: Eukaryota; Metazoa; Mollusca; Bivalvia; Myida; Dreissenidae.
UACCGUGUAGCUUAGCUGGUAUAGCAUUGGACCUCAAAUCCGAGGAUCUCUGGUUUGAUUCCCAGCCCGGCGG